GUACCUCGGUGAUGUGACUGUACUGCCUGGGCCCUGCCCACGGUAGGUAUUGUGACAUACCUCUGAACUCGUUGCCUAGGUGAUGUGACUUUUUUCUUUUGCCUGCAUUCUGCCCCUUGAAAAUGGACUGUGACAUACCACAGGCCCAAGUACUUAGAUGAUAUGAUUCUCCUCUUCUGCCUGGGUCAUGGCAACAGGAGGAUGAAUUAUUUUAGCAAGCCCAGAUUACAGGACUGUGAGCCCUAGGAGCAGCAAAAGUCACAUCAACUAGGUGCUGGGUCCAGUAAUAUGUCACCAUAUCCCUUGACAAGACAGCACAGGUAAGACAGUCACGUCAACUAGGUGAGAGUGAGAACCUGGAUAAUAGAGGAGUGACAUCAGCUUGGUGCUGGGCCCAGUGAAAUGUCAUGUUGGGUAUAAGUACAUGAGUCAUGAUCUCAAUGGUGUACUGGAUCCAUGCAUGACAGCAUCAAUCUGUCCUGUGGACUGUCUUCUUAGUAGAGUGACAGCCUCACAGGUUUGCUGAAUGUUGGUUGGAGAGUCAGAAACCCAAAUGUGAAUGAAAUCUGCAUAUAGAGUCAAUUCACUAUUUUUGACUGGCUUUGGGUGUGAGAUUCAGAACCUCAAGAGUGGGCUGUGUUCAGGUGGGAUGAUGACAGUCUAUACUGUUGGCUGGGUGUGCAUAUCACUGUCACAAUCUCAGCUGUGUGCAGUGCUCAGGCACAAAAGAAGAGUCAAAUCACCUAGAUGAAUAAUUAAGAUAUUUUAUUCUCUUUUAUUAGUCUUUUCUAAUACUUCUAUGGGCAAAGCCAAUGCAGGAGAGUUGCAUCCCCUAUGUUUUGGACACAGCCAUAUGUCACAAUACACAAUGUAUGCAGGGCCCAGGCAGUAGAGGGAAGUCAAAUAACCUAGGUGCUGGACCCAGUGGUAUAUCACAAUACCUCCUUGGACAGAGCCCAAGCAGUAGAAGAGAGUCACAUCACCUCAGUGCUGUGUGCAAAAAUGUGUCACAAUACCAACUGAGUGGACGGCUCACUCAUGAGAGUCACACCACCUAGGGGAGGGUCUCAAAAAUACGUUGCAAUGCCCCCUGUGGGUAGGGCUCAGAUGGAAAAGAGGAGUCACAUAAAUUAGGGGCUUCAUGUCACAAUCACUCCAGUUGAAAGAGAUAAGGCACAAGAGAAGUGAUGCAUCACAUAGAUGCUGGGCCCAGCAAUAUGUCACAUUCCUCACAUGGACGGGCCCUAUGAAGAAAAGAAGAGUCACAUCAUCCAGGUGAUGGGCCCAGAGAUAGGUCUCCAUGACCCCUGUCACCUGUGUGCUGGGCCCAGUCAUAAGUAACUUCCUUCUGUGGGCAUGGUCAGGUAAGAGAGGAGAGUCAUAUCACCUAGACGCUGGUCCUAGAGAUAUGCCACAAUCUAUUCUAUGGGCACAGUUCAGUUUCAGAUAUGACAGUCAACACAUCCUGAAUGUUGGGUCCAACUACAUGAGGCACGUCUCAUCAGUGAACCAGAUCUAUGCGUCAUAGCCUCAAUUCCUAUUGCAUGUUGUGUUGACUUAAUGGAGUCCCAGUUUUCUUGGUGUGCUGAAUCCUGGUCUGAGAGUCACCAACCCACCUGUGGACCACAUUUAUGUAUAAGAGCCUUUUUUAAAAAAAAUCUUCUGACUGCCUCUGGUUGUUAGAUUUAGA
This 1690-nucleotide long non-coding RNA is filed under the name Homo sapiens (human). RNAcentral describes it as "HSALNT0396729". Lineage: Eukaryota; Metazoa; Chordata; Mammalia; Primates; Hominidae. The record is from RNAcentral.